GAUGAAGAACGCAGUGAAAUGCGAUAAGUAGUGUGAAUUGCAGAAUUCAGUGAAUCAUCGAAUCUUUGAACGCACAUUGCGCCCUUUGGUAUUCCUUAGGGCAUGCCUGUUCGAGCGUCAUUUAAACCUUCAAGCUCAGCUUGGUGAUGGGUGACUGUCCUCCCCUCGCGGGGGGACUCGCCUCAAAAACAUUGGCGGCCGGUACAUUGGCUUCGAGCGCAGCAGAAACGCGGUCUCGAGCCCGGUGGAUCGGCUCCCAUAAGCCUCUUCUUUUAUUUUGACCUCGGAUCAGGUAGGGAUACCCGCUGAACUUAAGCAUAUCAAUAAGCGGAGGA
This 335-nucleotide unclassified non-coding RNA is filed under the name soil metagenome. RNAcentral describes it as "partial contains 5.8S ribosomal RNA, internal transcribed spacer 2, and large subunit ribosomal RNA". The stretch from base 1 to 120 matches the Rfam family "5.8S ribosomal RNA", at positions 35 to 154 of the family's 154-position model. The record is from RNAcentral.